GUGGCUAUAGCUCAAUUGGUCAGAGCACUACUUUGUGGAAGUAGGGGUUGUCGGUUCGAUUCCGUCUAGCCACCCCA
This 77-nucleotide transfer RNA is filed under the name Patescibacteria group bacterium. RNAcentral describes it as "tRNA-His". It matches the Rfam family "tRNA". Rfam says of the family: Transfer RNA (tRNA) molecules are approximately 80 nucleotides in length. Their secondary structure includes four short double-helical elements and three loops (D, anti-codon, and T loops). The record is from RNAcentral.